Homo sapiens (human) is the source of this 450-nucleotide long non-coding RNA. RefSeq lists it as uncharacterized. Lineage: Eukaryota; Metazoa; Chordata; Mammalia; Primates; Hominidae. The transcript is spliced from 3 exons. The record is from RefSeq and is a predicted model, not a curated record.
AUUUUUCACUUACCAGUAAGAUUCUGAUGGCUAUCUUCUUGAGUAUAACUUGAAAUUAUUAUUCUUUUGAAAAAAACAAACUGAGAAAUCAUUUGUGGGGUAAAAAAGAUAUGGACAGCAAUAAGUACUUACCUCUAUAUUGAAUGAUAGGUCAGAUGUUGAAGUGGUCACUUCCAGUGUGGUUUUAUUUGGAACUGGGACCUCUAAGAAAGCAAUUAAGGUUAAAUGAGGUUGCUCUGAUCUGACAGUAUUAGUGCAUUUAUAAGAAGAGAAAUUAGGGAGCUAUCCAGCCCCAAUGAGAAAGAAGAGGUCACAUAAGCACACAGCAAGAAGGCUGCUGUCUACACGUCUAGAGAAGAGGCCUCAGAAAGAAGCCAGCCUUGCCAGCAAUUUGAUCUUGGACAUUUUAGCCUUGAGAACUGUGAAAAUAAAUUUCUGUUGUUUAAGUUA